AUACUUACCUGGCAGGAGAGACACCAUUGUCACCAAGGUGAUUUUCCCAGGGGGAGUCUGAUUCAUUGCACUCCGGGCAUGCUGACCCCUGUAAUUUCCCCAAAUGUGGGAAACUCAACUGCAUAAUUUGUGUUGGAGGGGACUGCAUUCACACUCUCCCCUG
This is a small nuclear RNA of Choloepus didactylus (southern two-toed sloth), 163 nucleotides long. RefSeq annotates it as U1 spliceosomal RNA. The record is from RefSeq and is a predicted model, not a curated record. NCBI's taxonomy places the organism in Eukaryota, Metazoa, Chordata, Mammalia, Pilosa, Megalonychidae. The transcript has a single exon.